RNAcentral lists this ribosomal RNA (496 nucleotides) under uncultured bacterium. RNAcentral describes it as "partial 16S ribosomal RNA". It matches the Rfam family "Bacterial small subunit ribosomal RNA", at positions 28 to 506 of the family's 1533-position model. The record is from RNAcentral.
GAUGAACGCUGGCGGCGUGCCUAAUACAUGCAAGUCGAGCGAACGGACGAGAAGCUUGCUUCUCUGAUGUUAGCGGCGGACGGGUGAGUAACACGUGGAUAACCUACCUAUAAGACUGGGAUAACUUCGGGAAACCGGAGCUAAUACCGGAUAAUAUUUUGAACCGCAUGGUUCAAAAGUGAAAGACGGUCUUGCUGUCACUUAUAGAUGGAUCCGCGCUGCAUUAGCUAGUUGGUAAGGUAACGGCUUACCAAGGCAACGAUGCAUAGCCGACCUGAGAGGGUGAUCGGCCACACUGGAACUGAGACACGGUCCAGACUCCUACGGGAGGCAGGAGUAGGGAAUCUUCCGCAAUGGGCGAAAGCCUGACGGAGCAACGCCGCGUGAGUGAUGAAGGUCUUCGGAUCGUAAAACUCUGUUAUUAGGGAAGAACAUAUGUGUAAGUAACUGUGCACAUCUUGACGGUACCUAAGCAGAAAGCCACGGCUAACUACGU